Gossypium arboreum is the source of this 1088-nucleotide RNA transcript. RefSeq lists it as uncharacterized. The transcript is spliced from 6 exons. The record is from RefSeq and is a predicted model, not a curated record. Lineage: Eukaryota; Viridiplantae; Streptophyta; Magnoliopsida; Malvales; Malvaceae.
CUUUCGUUUUCUUCAUCGAGACUAUUCGUGUAUUAACAUCAAUCAAAGAUUUAAAAUCAUUUCUAGAGUCUUAUCUUGGCGCUCUCUCUCACAUCACUUUUGCCUUGCUCCGCAGCACGUAGGAAAACUAGAAAUUAAGAGAAAUUAAUACUAAAAACUAAUGAAAAAAAAUAGCAAAUAGCUCUCAAUUCAAACCAACAAUUUGGACUUUAGAUUAAUAGAAUCAAGAUGGAGGAUUCUGGAGCAAUUCUUUACCAAAUUUCAUGCCUCAAGGAAAUGCUUGAUCAGGUUAAUGAAGAAAUCGAAUCCAAUAUUGAAGUAUCGCGGGAGAUUGAAUCAGAGAUGGUCAAGUGUACGGAGUUCGAAGCUGCUCUUACUACUAGAGAAUCCCUGCUUACCAAAUCGCUAUACAUUUCUCACUUCGAAAUCGAUGGCUUGCUCUCCGUCAUCGCCGAUUCAAGAAAUUCGCUUAAAUUUUUGGAGGAGGAGUUGAGUUGUCUAACCACGAAACGAGAUGAGAUGUUAAAGAGGAUUGACGAUAAACGAGACGGAUUUACCAAACAGUGCUUAGAAUUUCAAAGGGAGAUUGACAAGGGGGAUAACAACGAGCUGGUGAAUUUGCUGUCAGAGAAAGAGCUUCUUGAGAAUGAAAUUCAUCUCUUGCAUAAGAAAAACAAUGCUUUGAGAAAUUCAAUGUCCGCUUUUGUGGAAGAAAUUCUUGAAGACCUUUAUUCUUCAAAUGCAGGUAAUCCCCAACCAUAGUGGGUCUGGAGCUGUGAGGGAUUCGGAGUGACCACACGUUCUGCAAAUUCGAUUUUUAUUCUGUGCCGCUUAUUUAGCUCAAGGAUCCUUUGAAGUCGGAGAUAUCGAUCACACUAUCAAUCGAAGCACUUGGUAUAGUAAAAAUCUUCUUUUCAGUAUGGCAUGUAUAGGGCUAGACUAGGAUGUUUGAUUUAAUGAGAAAUUGGUUAUGUAUUUUGGCUUAAGUCAAAAGCCUUUCAUUUUGUAUUAAGCCUAGAAUAAUGGCUAUUAUUCAUUUUGGUAACUGCAUAUAAUGUUCUUUCUAUGGAUGAAUUGGUAUAUUGAAA